RNAcentral lists this unclassified non-coding RNA (161 nucleotides) under soil metagenome. RNAcentral describes it as "partial internal transcribed spacer 1". The record is from RNAcentral.
CUGAUACUUGGCCUUUGAGUUGAUACCGAAAGGAGUCCUCAUUGCCAAAUUCACCUCUUGUGCACUAUGUUGUCUUUUGGUAGUUUAAACCUUGGUUUAGGCUGCCAAACUUUUAAACAAACCAUAUAUCAACUUUACUGACAUUAUAUGUAAAAUAUAAA